This 1325-nucleotide ribosomal RNA is filed under the name metagenome. RNAcentral describes it as "bacterial LSU rRNA". It matches the Rfam family "Bacterial large subunit ribosomal RNA", at positions 1561 to 2925 of the family's 2925-position model. The record is from RNAcentral.
AGUGGAUGGGGAGCAACCUAGUUGUGCGUGUGUAAAGGUAGUGCCAAGAAAAGCGAUGAUCAUGUUGAAAAUCAAUUCCCGGUACCCGAAACCGACACAGGUGGGCAAGUAGAGAAUACUAAGGGGCGCGAGGUAACUCUCUCCAAGGAACUCGGCAAAAUGACCCCGUAACUUAGGGAGAAGGGGUGCCACCGAGAGGUGGUCGCAGUGAAGAGGCCCAGGCGACUGUUUAGCAAAAACAUAGGUCUCUGCAAACUCGAAAGAGGAGGUAUAGGGGCUGACGCCUGCCCAGUGCCGGAAGGUUAAAGAAGUUGGUCAGUUUUAGGAUGAAGCUAGCGACUGAAGCCCCGGUGAACGGCGGCCGUAACUAUAACGGUCCUAAGGUAGCGAAAUUCCUUGUCGGGUAAGUUCCGACCCGCACGAAAGGCGUAACGAUCUGGGCGCUGUCUCGGAGAGAGGCUCGGCGAAAUAGGAUUGUCUGUGAAGAUACGGACUACCUGCAUUUGGACAGAAAGACCCUAUGGAGCUUUACUAUAGCUUGGAAUUGUGUUCGGGCUUCCUGUGCGCAGGAUAGGUGGGAGGCGUAGAAGGUAUUCUUGUGGGGAUACUGGAGCCAACGGUGAGAUACCACUCUCAGGAGGCUAGAAUUCUAACUUAAUUAAGGACAGUUUCAGGUGGGUAGUUUGACUGGGGCGGUCGCCUCCAAAAAGGUAACGAGGCGUACAAAGGUUCCCUCAGACUGGUUGGAAAUCAGUCGAAGAGUGCAAAGGCAGAAGGGAGCUUGACUGCGAGAAGUACAGUUCGAGCAGGGUGGAAACACGGUCUUAGUGAUCCGACGGUGCUGUGUGGAAGGGCCGUCGCUCAACGGAUAAAAGUUACUCUAAGGAUAACAGGCUGAUCUCCCCCAAGAGUUCACAUCGACGGGGAGGUUUGGCACCUCGAUGUCGGCUCAUCGCAACCUGGGGCGGAAGUACGUCCCAAGGGUUGGGCUGUUCGCCCAUUAAAGCGGUACGUGAGCUGGGUUCAGAACGUCGUGAGACAGUUCGGUCCAUAUCCGAUGUAGGCGUGAGAAUAUUGAGAGGAGCCUUCCUUAGUACGAGAGGACCGGGAAGGACGCACCGCUGGUGUACCUGUUAUGAUGCCAAUUGUAAACGCAGGGUAGCCAAGUGCGGAGAGGAUAACCGCUGAAAGCAUCUAAGUGGGAAGCCCACCUCAAGAUGAGUAUUCUGGUGUAAGGUCACGGGAAGACGACCCGUAAAUAGGCACGAGGUGGAAGUGCAGAGAUGUAUGAAGCCGAAGUGUACUAAUAGACCGUCGGCUUGACC